This 440-nucleotide ribosomal RNA is filed under the name uncultured bacterium. RNAcentral's name for it is "partial 16S ribosomal RNA". It matches the Rfam family "Bacterial small subunit ribosomal RNA", at positions 338 to 795 of the family's 1533-position model. The record is from RNAcentral.
CCUACGGGAGGCAGCAGUGGGGAAUAUUGCACAAUGGGGGAAACCCUGAUGCAGCGACGCCGCGUGAGUGAAGAAGUACUUCGUUUUGUAAAGCUCUGUCAGCAGGGAAGAAAAUGACGGUACCUAAUUAAGAAGCCCCGGCUAACUACGUGCCAGCAGCCGCGGUAAUACGUAGGGGGCGAGCGUUAUCCGGAUUUACUGGGUGUAAAGGGAGCGUAGACGGCAGUGCAAGUCUGGAGUGAAAGGCGGGGGCUCAACCUCCGGACUGCUCUGGAAACUGUACGGCUGGAGUGCAGGAGAGGUAAGUGGAAUUCCUAGUGUAGCGGUGAAAUGCGUAGAUAUUAGGAGGAACACCAGUGGCGAAGGCGGCUUACUGGACUGUAACUGACGUUGAGGAUCGAAAGCGUGGGGAGCAAACAGGAUUAGAUACCCUAGUAGUC